GCCUGGGUGGCUCAGUCGGUUGAGCAUCUGACUUCGGCUCAGGUCAUGAUCUUGCAGUUUGUGAGUUCGAGCCCCACGUUGGGCU
This 85-nucleotide transfer RNA is filed under the name Felis catus (domestic cat). It matches the Rfam family "tRNA". Rfam says of the family: Transfer RNA (tRNA) molecules are approximately 80 nucleotides in length. Lineage: Eukaryota; Metazoa; Chordata; Mammalia; Carnivora; Felidae. The record is from Rfam by way of RNAcentral.